Molecule: microRNA, 21 nt
Filed under: Polistes canadensis
Lineage: Eukaryota; Metazoa; Arthropoda; Insecta; Hymenoptera; Vespidae
Also listed under: 1 other name
Description: pca-miR-3783-5p
Source: miRBase by way of RNAcentral
CACCAAACAAGUGAGAGUGUG